UACGUAGGGCGCGAGCGUUGUCCGGAUUUAUUGGGCGUAAAGAGCUCGUAGGCGGUUUGUCGCGUCGUCUGUGAAAUCCCACGGCUCAACUGUGGGCUUGCAGGCGAUACGGGCAGGCUAGAGUUCGGUAGGGGAGACUGGAAUUCCUGGUGUAGCGGUGAAAUGCGCAGAUAUCAGGAGGAACACCGGUGGCGAAGGCGGGUCUCUGGGCCGAUACUGACGCUGAGGAGCGAAAGCGUGGGGAGCGAACAGG
This 253-nucleotide ribosomal RNA is filed under the name uncultured bacterium. RNAcentral describes it as "partial 16S ribosomal RNA". It matches the Rfam family "Bacterial small subunit ribosomal RNA", at positions 524 to 776 of the family's 1533-position model. The record is from RNAcentral.